This 335-nucleotide ribosomal RNA is filed under the name uncultured bacterium. RNAcentral describes it as "bacterial SSU rRNA". It matches the Rfam family "Bacterial small subunit ribosomal RNA", at positions 8 to 334 of the family's 1533-position model. The record is from RNAcentral.
AGGGUUUGAUUAUGGCUCAGGAUGAACGCUAGCUACAGGCUUAACACAUGCAAGUCGCAGGGUAACAUGAGGAAAGCUUGCUUUCCUUGAUGACGACUGGCGCACGGGUGAGUAACGCGUAUCCAACCUUCCCAUAACUACGGGAUAACCCGUUGAAAGACGGCCUAAUACCGUAUGAUAUCGUUUGCUGACAUCAAAUAACGAUUAAAGGUUUAGCGGUUAUGGAUGGGGAUGCGUCUGAUUAGCUUGUUGGCGGGGUAACGGCCCACCAAGGCUACGAUCAGUAGGGGUUCUGAGAGGAAGGUCCCCCACAUUGGAACUGAGACACGGUCCAA